UUUAUUGGAGAGUUUGAUCCUGGCUCAGGAUGAACGCUGGCGGCGUGCCUAAUACAUGCAAGUCGAGCGAAUGGAUUAAGAGCUUGCUCUUAUGAAGUUAGCGGCGGACGGG
RNAcentral lists this ribosomal RNA (112 nucleotides) under Bacillus cereus. Its description in RNAcentral is "partial 16S ribosomal RNA". It matches the Rfam family "Bacterial small subunit ribosomal RNA", at positions 1 to 106 of the family's 1533-position model. Lineage: Bacteria; Bacillati; Bacillota; Bacilli; Caryophanales; Bacillaceae. RNAcentral also lists the same sequence under 1 other name. The record is from RNAcentral.